CGAUCAGUAGGGGUUCUGAGAGGAAGGUCCCCCACAUUGGAACUGAGACACGGUCCAAACUCCUACGGGAGGCAGCAGUGAGGAAUAUUGGUCAAUGGACGAGAGUCUGAACCAGCCAAGUAGCGUGCAGGAAGACGGCCCUAUGGGUUGUAAACUGCUUUUAUAAGGGAAUAAAGUGAGAGUCGUGACUCUUUUUGCAUGUACCUUAUGAAUAAGGACCGGCUAAUUCCGUGCCAGCAGCCGCGGUAAUACGGAAGGUCCGGGCGUUAUCCGGAUUUAUUGGGUUUAAAGGGAGCGUAGGCCGGAGAUUAAGCGUGUUGUGAAAUGUAGACGCUCAACGUCUGCACUGCAGCGCGAACUGGUUUCCUUGAGUACGCACAAAGUGGGCGGAAUUCGUGGUGUAGCGGUGAAAUGCUUAGAUAUCACGAAGAACUCCGAUUGCGAAGGCAGCUCACUGGAGCGCAACUGACGCUGAAGCUCGAAAGUGCGGGUAUCGAACAGGAUUAGAUACCCUGGUAGUCCGCACGGUAAACGAUGGAUGCCCGCUGUUGGUCUGAAUAGGUCAGCGGCCAAGCGAAAGCAUUAAGCAUCCCACCUGGGGAGUACGCCGGCAACGGUGAAACUCAAAGGAAUUGACGGGGGCCCGCACAAGCGGAGGAACAUGUGGUUUAAUUCGAUGAUACGCGAGGAACCUUACCCGGGCUUGAAUUGCAGAGGAAGGAUUUGGAGACAAUGACGCCCUUCGGGGCCUCUGUGAAGGUGCUGCAUGGUUGUCGUCAGCUCGUGCCGUGAGGUGUCGGCUUAAGUGCCAUAACGAGCGCAACCCCUCUACUUAGUUGCCAUCAGGUUAAGCUGGGCACUCUGGGGACACUGCCACUGUAAGGUGUGAGGAAGGUGGGGAUGACGUCAAAUCAGCACGGCCCUUACGUCCGGGGCUACACACGUGUUACAAUGGCAGGUACAGAGAGACGGUCCCUUGCAAAACGGAUCAAAUCCUUAAAGCCUGUCUCAGUUCGGACUGGGGCCUGCAACCCGACCCCACGAAGCUGGAUUCGCUAGUAAUCGCGCAUCAGCCAUGGCGCGGUGAAUACGUUCCCGGGCCUUGUACACACCGCCCGUCAAGCCAUGAAAGCCGGGGGCGCCUAAAGUCCGUGACCGUAAGGAGCGGCCUAGGGCGAAACUGGUAAUUGGGGCUAAGUCGUAACAAGGUA
RNAcentral lists this ribosomal RNA (1211 nucleotides) under metagenome. RNAcentral describes it as "bacterial SSU rRNA". It matches the Rfam family "Bacterial small subunit ribosomal RNA", at positions 277 to 1498 of the family's 1533-position model. The record is from RNAcentral.